This 715-nucleotide ribosomal RNA is filed under the name Sarritor frenatus (sawback poacher). RNAcentral's name for it is "partial 12S ribosomal RNA". It matches the Rfam family "Bacterial small subunit ribosomal RNA", at positions 327 to 1345 of the family's 1533-position model. The record is from RNAcentral. Lineage: Eukaryota; Metazoa; Chordata; Actinopteri; Perciformes; Agonidae.
UGCCCUACAGUUCCCCGCCCGGGAACAAGGAGCCGGUAUCAGGCACAUCUCUUCGAGCCCAUGACACCUUGCUUAGCCACACCCUCAAGGGAACUCAGCAGUGAUAGACAUUAAGCCAUAAGUGAAAACUUGACUUAGUUAAGGUUAAGAGGGCCGGUAAAACUCGUGCCAGCCACCGCGGUUAUACGAGAGGCCCAAGUUGAUAGCCACCGGCGUAAAGCGUGGUUAAGUUAAAAGUCAUGCUAAAGCCAAACAUCUUCAAGACUGUUAUACGUAACCGAAGACAGGAAGUUCAACCACGAAAGUGGCUUUAUUGAUCUGAACCCACGAAAGCUAAGGAACAAACUGGGAUUAGAAACCCCACUAUGCCUAGCCCUAAACAUUGAUAGUACUAUACAUCCACUAUCCGCCCGGGAACUACGAGCAAUAGCUUAAAACCCAAAGGACUUGGCGGUGCUUUAGAUCCACCUAGAGGAGCCUGUUCUAGAACCGAUAACCCCCGUUCAACCUCACCCUUCCUUGUUUAUCCCGCCUAUAUACCGCCGUCGUCAGCUUACCCUGUGAAGGUUAAAUAGUAAGCAAAACUGGCACAGCCUAAAACGUCAGGUCGAGGUGUAGCGAAUGGAGGGGGAAGAAAUGGGCUACAUUCGCUACUGCAGCGAACACGAAAGAUGUACUGAAACAUCCAUCUGAAGGAGGAUUUAGCAGUAAGCAG